UCCAGACUCCUACGGGAGGCAGCAGUGGGGGAUAUUGCACAAUGGGGGGAACCCUGAUGCAGCGACGCCGCGUGAGGGAAGACGGUUUUCGGAUUGUAAACCUCUGUCUUUAGGGACGAAACAAAUGACGGUACCUAAAGAGGAAGCCACGGCUAACUACGUGCCAGCAGCCGCGGUAAUACGGAGGAUGCGAGCGUUAUCCGGAUUUAUUGGGUUUAAAGGGUGCGUAGGCGGAAUGCCAAGUCAGCGGUAAAAUCGCGGGGCUCAACCUCGCUCCGCCGUUGAAACUGGCGUUCUUGAGUGGGCGAGAAGUAUGCGGAAUGCGUGGUGUAGCGGUGAAAUGCAUAGAUAUCGCGCAGAACCCCGAUUGCGAAGGCAGCGUACCGGCUCCACACUGACGCUGAGGCACGAAAGCGUGGGUAUCGAACAGGAUUAGAUACCCGGGUAGG
RNAcentral lists this ribosomal RNA (449 nucleotides) under uncultured bacterium. Its description in RNAcentral is "bacterial SSU rRNA". It matches the Rfam family "Bacterial small subunit ribosomal RNA", at positions 330 to 794 of the family's 1533-position model. The record is from RNAcentral.